GACGAACGCUGGCGGCGUGCUUAACACAUGCAAGUCGAGCGGUAAGGCCCUUUCGGGGUACGACGAGCGGCGAACGGGUGAGUAACACGUGGGUGGACCUGCCCUCAGCUCUGGGAGUAAGCCUGGGAAACCGGGGUCGUAAUACCGGAUAUGACUCCAUGACGCAUGUUGUGGGGUGGAAAGCCUUGUGCGGCUGAGGAUGGGCCCGCGGCCUAUCAGCUUGUUGGUGGGGUGAUGGCCUACCAAGGCGACGACGGGUAGCCGGCCUGAGAGGGCGACCGGCCACACUGGGACUGAGACACGGCCCAGACUCCUACGGGAGGCAGCAGUGGGGAAUCUUGCGCAAUGGGCGAAAGCCUGACGCAGCGACGCCGCGUGAGGGAUGACGGCCUGG
Molecule: ribosomal RNA, 394 nt
Filed under: uncultured bacterium
Lineage: Bacteria
Description: bacterial SSU rRNA
Rfam family: Bacterial small subunit ribosomal RNA
Source: RNAcentral